UGAACUAUACCCAUCACACGAUGUCCAC
Molecule: small RNA, 28 nt
Filed under: Bombyx mori (domestic silkworm)
Lineage: Eukaryota; Metazoa; Arthropoda; Insecta; Lepidoptera; Bombycidae
Description: ovarian small RNA-7941
Source: RNAcentral